UGUUCCUCCCUGCAGUUUGUCAGCAGUUGUUUCCUAUCACCCACGCUGGAAGUGAAGACAAACAUGGCCUGUGGUUACAGCUGGCGGAGCAGGGGGUGGCAACUUUGUACCUUCAUCCCCUUCAUAUUCCCUUUGCAACUGGUCAGAUGUCACCCCCAGUGCUUGGACUUCAAGCCCCCCUUCCGACCAGCGAACGGCCUUGCAUUCUGUGUUCUCUACAGCGACUUUGGUUGUUGUGACUCUGUCAAAGAUGGAGAAAUCAGGAGCCGCUUCUACAGGAUCAUGGACAACUUUGAUCACUCCCUGUAUGCCACCUGUGGUGUGUAUAUCCGGGACAUCUUGUGUGGGGAAUGUUCCCCAUAUUCUGCUCACUUGUACGAUGCAGAAGACCCGUCAACCCCCGUCAGGCAGUUGCUCGGUCUCUGUGGAGAAUACUGCAUCGAAUUCUGGAAUAAAUGUCAGGCAACUCUGGGCCCCUUAGUGGGAGAAGGAAACCUUCUGGAGCUCGUGUCUAAUAGAAAUAAAUUCUGUGAAGCCUUACAGCUGCAGGACCUCGAUUAUUGCUUCCCGCACGUCUUGAGCAAUAAGAACCUAACUAAAAACCUUGGGGUGGUGAAUCCAGGCUCCGACGGCUGCCUUCAACUGUGUCUGGAGGAAGCAGCCAAUGGUCUUCGCAAUCCUGUCGCUAUGGUGCACGCAAAUGACGGCACUCAUCGUUUCUUCGUCGCAGAGCAGAUCGGCAUCGUCUGGGUUUACCUCCACACCAGGGCCAGGCUAGAGAAACCAUUUCUCAACAUCACUCAUGCGGUUUUAACCUCUCCCUGGGAAGGGGACGAGCGAGGAUUUCUGGGCUUGGCCUUUCAUCCUAAGUACAAAUACACAGGGAAAGUCUACGUCUAUUACUCUGUUGAGUGGCACUUUAAAGAAAAGAUCAGAAUUAGUGAGUUCACCAUUUCUUCCACUGACAUGAACGUGUUGAAUCAUCGUUCUGAGAGGAUCAUUCUGGAAGUGGAUGAGCCAGCGUCAAACCACAAUGGAGGACAGCUCCUCUUUGCCGAUGAUGGCUACCUCUAUAUUUUCACCGGAGACGGUGGAAUGGCUGGGGAUCCUUUUGGGGAAUACGGAAACGCACAAAAUAAGUCAGCCUUACUGGGGAAGGUGCUUCGGAUUGACGUCAACAACAAUAACCGAGGGCCACUCUACAGGAUCCCUCCCGACAACCCGUUUCUCCUUGAUCCGAACGCCCGGCCCGAGGUUUAUGCCUAUGGAGCCCGGAAUAUGUGGCGGUGCUCUGUGGAUCGUGGGGAUCCUCUAACAAAGGAAGGCAAAGGAAGAAUCUUCUGCGGAGAUGUCGGUCAGAACAAGUUCGAGGAGGUGGAUAUCAUUGAGAAAGGCAAAAACUAUGGAUGGAAAGCAAGAGAAGGGUUUUCAUGCUACGAUAAGAAACUCUGUGCAAACUCCUCUCUAAAUGAUGUCCUUCCUAUAUUUGCUUAUCCUCAUAGCGUUGGCAAGUCCGUCACUGGGGGCUACAUUUACAGAGGUUGCGAAUCUCCCAAUCUAAAUGGACUCUACAUAUUUGGAGAUUUCAUGAGUGGACGUCUUAUGGCUUUGGCUGAGGAUUCCAGAACCAGAAAGUGGCAAAAUCAUAAGAUCUGCAUGGGCAAGGGUCAGACAUGUUUUUUCCCAGGACUGCGUAAUCAGUAUCAUCGGUACAUUAUCUCCUUCGCCGAGGAUGAAGCAGGAGAAUUAUACUUCCUAUCCACACGGAUUCCGACGUCCACAUCUCCUACUGGAGUGGUUUACAAAAUAGUUGACCCCUCACGGAGAGCACCACCCGGAAAAUGUCACUACACAUCGCUGCCGGUUAAAGUGAAAAGCCGGCUCAUCAGCUUUGUACCCCGGCCAAGACAGACACACCGGUCCAGGAAAAAGCCAGCCAAGAACAAACCAAGGGGAGAACAGAGGCCAGGGCUCCGGGAGGGGAGCAGCCCAGACUGGUUCCAGGAGCUCCUGAGAACCCUGGAGAGGCUGCAAGCAGAACUGGACGCAGCCACCGAGCAGCCAGCAGCCAGCUCUCCGGUGGGGAGUGCCGAAGCCCGCCCUGGCCCGGGCCGUGACUCGCGGCCUCAGGGCGCGCCUGCCGAGGGGGCGGUGCGCCUUGCCGGGGGGCGGGACCGUGGCAGGGUGGAGCUGUACAUUGGAGGGGUGUGGGGGACGGUGUGCGACGACCUGUGGAACGAGCAGGCUGCUGCGGUGGUGUGCCGCCAGCUGGGGUUCUCCGGUGCCCUCCGGGCCUACCGCAGGGCCGAGUUCGGUGAGGGGAGUGGGCCCAUCCUGCUGGACGACGUGGAGUGCGACGGGAACGAGAGGACCCUCCUCGAGUGCCGUCACUCGGAGAUCGGAGACACCAACUGCUCCCACCGAGAGGAUGCGGGGGUAAUGUGCCUCCCCUCCUAGCCUUGAGUAAUGGCGGGUAGGCCUCAUGCCUGGCCCACACAGGGACACGGGAGACGACGCUGCUCGACCCGCUGAGUUCCUCCCGCAGAGAGACACAAGAGACUGCAGACACUGGAAUCUGGAGCAACAAACGAUCUGCGGGUCGAGCAGCAUCUGUGGAGGGAAAGGAAUUGUCGACGUUUCGGGUCAGAACCCCGCAUCAGGACGCCAGAACACGAAACAGGAGCAAGGGUUCCGAUGCAGGGUUUCAAAGCAAAACGUCGACAAUUCUGCUUGCCACACAGAAGCUGCUCGAGCCACUGAGUUCCUCCAGCAGAUUGUUUGUUGCAUUAACUUGUAAUGCAACCCAUCUGUGACACCACAAUCUUAGAACAGAAUAGUUCUCACUGUCGUUAGUGUGGGGACUGUGGCUAAUAUCAACGGCAGGUGCCUGCAAGUAAUUCCUUUGAAAUUCAUUCUUUUCAAAGAUCCACUACCAUUUUCAAAAUAAUAUUGCGUUUUCAACAUAGUGUACUGUUAACGAGUUCUCAUUUUUGUUCAGUGUUUAAUUUGUUCAAUGCACUCAGUCUUUUUCCCAGGGUUGGGGAAUCAAGAACAAGAAGGAAUAGGUUUAAGGUGAGAGGGGAGAGAUUUAAUUGGAAUCUGAGGGGCAACAUUUUCACCCAGAAGGUGGUCAGUAUAUGGAAUGAGCUGCCAGAGGAAGUGGUUGAGGCAGGUAAAGUCAAAAUCAAAGUGGAGGUUAUUGUCACAUGCACAAGUCCAUGUGUGCACAGGUGCAAUGAAAAACUUACCUGUAGCAGCAUCACAGGCACAGAGCAUCAGGUACACAACAUUCACAAGGAAAACAUGUUAAACAUAAAUUAUACAACAUUUUAUUAAAAUAAGUCCAUAGUAGUGCAAAGUUGCUGUACUGGGGUAGUGAUUAGGGUGGUUUGUUCAAGAACCGAAUGGUUGUAGCUGUUCCUGAACCUGGUGGUGGGAGACUUCAGGCUUCUGUACCUCCUGCCCGAUGGGAGCUGCAUAAACAAAUAUAUUACAUUAUAUAAUACACUAACAUUUAAAAGACAGUUGGACAGGUACGUGGACAGGAAAGGUUUAGAGGGAUAUGGGCCAAACACACAAAAAUGGGACUAGCUCAGAUUGGUAUCUUGGUCGACAUGGAUGAGAUGGGCCGAAGGGCCUGUUUCCGUGCCGUAUGACUCUAUGAGUCUAAUCCCUUGCAGCAGAAAAGGCAGGUUUAUUAAACCCAAAGCUCCCUGGGCAAUCAGGGAGACACUGAUUAAACUAAAGCAGAAGGUCGGGUGACAGACACCAGGACGAUAACACAGCCAGGCCGAUCAUAGAACGUUCAGAGUGAAAGAAGAGAGGCAGAGAGAGCACGAGAAGUAAAAUGACAGCAAACACAAAGGGAACCCAAAUAUCUUAUCCGGGCAUCUCAACAGUAAGCAAGUGAUACGAAGAAAGGAGAUCCAAACAGGGACCAAAAGGAGGUCUAUUCACAGGCAGGAGGAAUGGCUGAUCUACUGAGUUACUGUCCAUCGGUCGUCACUGUGGAAGGGGAUUCUGUUGGAGUCUCAGCAAAGGAAAAUGUGGGUGAGAUUCUGGAUGGUCCAAACACUGAGAAAGAGCAGGUGGGAGAGAUACAUUAGAUCCUGAAUUCCUGAGGUUAUGGAGAAGAUGGUGGGAAACCAUUCCAUUGGUGCAGGGGUCAAGAACCAGGAGGAAAUGAAGGAAGGUGAUUGGGCAAAAGAACCAGGAGGAAAAACUUUUUGAUGCAGUGAGUGGUCAGACUCUGCAGUCUUAUGUGUGUGUGUGGGUGUGUGUGUGUGAGAGAGUGUGUGUGUGUGUGAGAGUGUGUGUGUGUGAGUGUGUGUGUGUGAGAGUGUGGUGUGUGAGAGUGUGUGUGUGAAUGUGUGUGUGUGAGAGUGUGUGUGUGAGAGUGUGUGUGUGAAUGUGUGUGUGUGAGAGUGUGUGUGUGAGAGUGUGUGUGGGUGAAAGUGUGUGUGUGAGAGUGUGAGUGUGUGGGUGAGUGUGUGGGUGAGUGUGUGUGUAUGUACAGGUGUGGGUGUAUGGGUGUUUGUGCAUACACACAUACAGACACACACCACACACACACACACACACACACAUACACCACAUCCACACAAAGACACAUGCACACACACACCCAUACACAUAGACAUACGCCACAUACACACCACACACAGACAUACAGAUGCACAAGCACACAGACACACAAACACACAUAUACAAACACCAACAUACACAGACACACACAAACACACACACAAUGCUGGAUAUUCUCAACAGGUCAGGCACCAUCUGUGAAAAGAACAAGCUGAAAUGAUCUUUUUGGUCAAUAACCUUCAAUCAGAGGAAGUUGACUAACUUUGGGGAGAACAGGUGGGGGGGGGUUUGGCUUUGCCUGUCUGAGCUGACAGAGAUCGUACAGGUGGAGGCUGCACAGAAAAUCAGCCUCGGCCCUCGUUACUGUGACGGCAACAACCUGCCGGCUGGGGUUAUCCUGGGAACUGCACCUUAAUUUCAGGGCAGCUGGAGUGAAGACUUUCCCCUGCGGUUUGUACCUACCUCAAUGAACUCAGCUCCUUCUCAACGUUAAACAAAUCUCAGGUGGUUAAUGAUCCCUCAACGAGGUGUUGGGUUGAAUGAACACGUCCCACUGAGGGAGGGUCUUGCCCAAGGGUUGACAUCAGUGACUCUCUGAAGUAUGAAUCUCCAGAACCUCCAGGCACUGUGCAGGCACAAGCCCAAUACCCAAUGUACCAGGUGUCAAGAGACAUGGUAAACAUGUCAAGUCCUAAAACAAAUGCAAUGCGAAGCCACCGAACUGGAAAGGGUGCAAAAGACAUUAGUAAACUGGCAUCUAAUUGUCAUUUAACAUUAAAAAGAUUUAUGAGGGUGUUUCCGGGGAUAGAGGGCUUGAGUUAUAAGGAGAGACUGUAGAGCCGCUGCUUACAGCGCCAGAGACCCAGGUUCAAUCCCAACCUCGGGUGCUCUCUGUGUGUGGAGUUUGCACAUUAUCCCUGUGACUGCGUGGGUUUCCCCUGGGUGCUCCGGUUUCCUCCCACAUCUCACGUUGUAGAUGACACCAAAAGUGGGCAGUGAGGAAGAUUGUCCAAGGUCACAACAGGAUCUGGAUCAACUGGGAAAGUGGGCCAAGAAGUAGCAGAUGGAAUUUAACUCAGACAAGUGCAAACUGUUGCACUUUGGGAAGUCAAACCAGAGCAGGACUUAUACAGUGAAUAGCAGAGCCCAGGGGAGUGUAGACAGAGAGAUCAAGGGGUGCAAAUACAUAGUUCCCUGAAAGUGGCAACACAGACAGGGUGGUGAAGAAGGUUUAUGCUUGCCUUCAUUAGCCAUGGCAUCAUGUUACGCAGUUGUACAAACCAUUGGUGAGGCCACACUUGGAGUGUUGUGUGUUGUUCUGGUCACCCAGCUAUAGGAAAGAUGUGAUUAAGCCAGAAAGGGUGCUGUAAGGAUUCACAAGAAUGUUGCCUUGACUGGAGGGCUUGAGUUACAAGGAGAGAUUGGAUAGACUGGGACAAUUUUCCCUGGAGCGUUGGAGGCUGAGGGGAGAGCUGAUAGAAGUUUAUA
This is an RNA transcript of Pristis pectinata (smalltooth sawfish), 6072 nucleotides long. It is a transcript of the gene named HHIP-like 1, with no coding region annotated. Lineage: Eukaryota; Metazoa; Chordata; Chondrichthyes; Rhinopristiformes; Pristidae. The transcript has 10 exons. The record is from RefSeq and is a predicted model, not a curated record.